Pimephales promelas (fathead minnow) is the source of this 933-nucleotide long non-coding RNA. RefSeq lists it as uncharacterized. The record is from RefSeq and is a predicted model, not a curated record. Lineage: Eukaryota; Metazoa; Chordata; Actinopteri; Cypriniformes; Leuciscidae.
CACAACAAGCGAAUGACCGGAAGUGGUUUUAUCGUGAUCAGAUUAACUGCAAACUGUUCCAGCAAAUGUGUUUAUUUUAUUAAAAUAUCACUUUAAAGUGAUUGUCUGUGGGUAUCGAUCAUCACUGGACACAUCAUUGCCUGCUUUGCCGACUGACUGACAGUCUGUUGAUUCACUUGCAGGAUUCAGUCCACAAUCAGUGGUGACGCCGGUGUCAGGAUGGUGUGUGAGCUGCUGCUGUCUUCUGUCUGGUUCCUCUUCGUGAUCUUCUGGCUGGAGACCAUCAGUGUGUGGCUGUUCCUGUGUCUGUACUAUCAGGACAGGGUCUUCUAUCACUGGGGCUCAGGGGAGUUUGCAGAUGAUCCGGAUCAGUUCCUCUAUGUGUUGAGCAGGAUCGAUCUGUCGGCGCAUAUGCAGACGUGAGGAAGUGAUGUCGCGGCGUGGGAGUGCCGUGCUCACAGGACGGGAAGGGUCAGAGGUCAUCGGUGAUGUCACGUCUCAGAGGAUCCUGAUGGGGAGAGAGAGAGAGAGAGAGAGGUUCAGCAAUAACAGAAUAAUACCCACUGAAAGCUCAGAGAUCUGUGUGUGUGUGUGAUCUGGGAUCUUCUAAACUAGAGGGAGUUUCACUUUAUAGAGCAUUAACGUCUCAAGAUGAUUCCAAUCCUCCAAUUAUACACUUUCUAUUUUUGUACCAGUUUGUCCUUUUGAUUGUGUUGCCUGAUAAUAAAAAAUAUGGGAAUAUGCUUUACACACUCCGUUUUAGUUUUAGUUUUUCACAGAAUUUAUUACACUUGUUUGUUGUUAAAUUAUGUGUGUUCAUGUGUAAUGAAUUAAAAACAAACAUCUCAUCAUGUGCAAGAACUGAGGAAUGCAUUUAAUUACACAUUGAUUAUGUUUGUCAAGUCAUUUAAUAAAUUAUUUCUUUUCCUAUUA